This 73-nucleotide transfer RNA is filed under the name Ovis aries (sheep). It matches the Rfam family "tRNA". Rfam says of the family: Transfer RNA (tRNA) molecules are approximately 80 nucleotides in length. Their secondary structure includes four short double-helical elements and three loops (D, anti-codon, and T loops). The record is from Rfam by way of RNAcentral. Lineage: Eukaryota; Metazoa; Chordata; Mammalia; Artiodactyla; Bovidae.
UCCCUGAUGGUCCAGUGGUUAGUACUUGGCACUUUCACUGCCAAGGGUGGGUGUUCAAUCCCUGAUCAGGGAA